UUUCCUUGAUGAUACAAAUUACAUUUAGUUCACUGUCACCAAGAUAGGGUGUGGUGAGGCAAGAAGCCACCUUAAGCAAUAUCUGUGUUUAUUAGCAAUUACUCUAAAACUACAAUGUUUUGGAUUUCAGCUUUGACAUAUCUUGUGUAGGUCCACUCCAAGAUUAUAUGUGUCAAUUUUGAUGUUUUUUUUCGCUGUGCCAAAUUUGAAUUAUGCUAAAGGCGUAUGCCUUGGCUUCUAGCAGAAGAGGUGCAGCCCCCACCUCGCAACAAUUGCAUCCAAAUUCCCACUACUUUACCACUUCAAUGCAUGUACAACCGCCAAACAAUUUGUAUGCACUGGAGACCAUUUCAGAACCAUUUUUAGUUGACGAUCUUUUUAAAAAUAGUUAAAAAAAUGAAUUAUUAUUAUUUUAAUUAAAGAAGUGUGUGGAAAAAAGAUCAGACAUAACAUUGUAAAGUGAGGGUGAAAAAAAAUCGAGGGAACAAACCAUUACUUACAAAAAAGGGGUGUACAUGUUAUAUAAUCAAAUAUUAACAGCAAAUAUCUUUUUUUUUUAAGAUGCUCUCUUUUGGAAUUGAUUCUUUGAAUGGUAUUAUUAUAUGCCAGAGUUUUAUAUUAAUAAUAACUUCCUGUACCCACGAUUCACAUUAGUCUCGUAUCCAAAAAUGAUAUCGCCCUAGACUAUUGCAGAAGCACACAUGUAGGUCGUGGAGCGGGUUUAUCACUUCAUACGAUGAGAUGGAUUCUUUAUCAGUUGGAAGGUAUGUAAUGUACUUAAGAGAAGUACUGGUAUUACAGUUAAUUGUAAAACUGUACUUUAUUUAAAAUGAUAUAAAAUAUAAUUUAUGUAGUUGAAUAGUGAAUCGUGUAUUUGCCAAAUUAAUUAUAGAUGUAGUAGUCGUACUAUUAUUACUCAAAACAUGUUUAAAAACACAAAGGAGGAAUAAUCUAUAUAGUAACUAUCUGAUGUGAAUGAAUACUAUUAUGGCACUUUUGAAAGAUGUAUUUAUUAUUUUGCAGCACUGUCAACAAACGCCUCAGUGUAAACACUAGUGUCGCUAGUCAAAAUGAGCAGGACCUGCUUACUUUGUAUGUGCAAGGAAUGAAUAAUUACUCAUCUGAUCUGGGAAAAUCUUUGUUAAGAUUAGCCUCUGACAAGACUGGUUUAUCAGAGAGAGAGAAGUAAAGAGGUGGAUUGACAAUUAUAAAAAGAAGGUGAAGAGGAGAGAGCACCCCAGUUAAACUUGCAAAAAGAGCUAAGAGGGGCAUUGAUGUGCUCUACAGUGAGAACUUAUCAAAACAAGAGGGCAACACUAACAAAGAGAAGUUGCAGGCUUUACACAGGACCUGGAGGAGCACCACAGCCGAGGAACAGGAGCGGUACUCUGAAAAUGCCCCCUCCAUGGCGACCUGCAGACCACAGUCCCGAUCAAAAGAAGAGCCUCUACAAGGACGCCUUAAAGAAUAUUGCAAAACAGGUGUCAAUCCUAGAAGAAUUAGGAAGCAAGGGGGUCAUAGUUCUCACUGUAGACUGCAGAACAAAUUAUCAUCAUUUGGGACAGACAAGUGCCUGGACUGGCUGAACGAGCAAAUGGAGCUGCAGUAUUGCUUCCUUUCCACCUGCAUAGGAAAUGAAGGUCCAAUACUAAAAGAUCCCAAUGGACAAGAGAGAAGAGAAGUGCAACACAUUUUUAACAGAAAAUACAGUAGUUAUAUAUUGUAUUCCUUUUUACAGUUUUGAAUUAACUCACACACAAAAAUAAUCAAUGACUCAAUUACAACUGUAG
Acipenser ruthenus (sterlet) is the source of this 1790-nucleotide long non-coding RNA. RefSeq lists it as uncharacterized. Lineage: Eukaryota; Metazoa; Chordata; Actinopteri; Acipenseriformes; Acipenseridae. The record is from RefSeq and is a predicted model, not a curated record. The transcript is spliced from 5 exons.